CACGUAGGGGGCGAGCGUUGUCCGGAUUUAUUGGGCGUAAAGAGCUCGUAGGCGGUUCGGUAAGUCGGGUGUGAAAACUCAGGGCUCAACCCUGAGACGCCACCCGAUACUGCUGUGACUAGAGUCCGGUAGGGGAGCGUGGAAUUCCCAGUGUAGCGGUGAAAUGCGCAGAUAUUGGGAGGAACACCAGCGGCGAAGGCGGCGCUCUGGGCCGGAACUGACGCUGAGGAGCGAAAGCGUGGGUAGCGAACAGG
Molecule: ribosomal RNA, 254 nt
Filed under: uncultured bacterium
Lineage: Bacteria
Description: partial 16S ribosomal RNA
Rfam family: Bacterial small subunit ribosomal RNA
Source: RNAcentral